AGACACAUUUAGUUUCAUAAGAAGCUGGAGGCAGCAAAAAAAAAACACACAGCUGGCUAAACUAUUUAAAAAUGGCGGGUUUGUUCAGGACACCCCCGUCUGUCGCUAUAGCAAUGAUGACACAGUGAUUAGUGAUGAUUCUCUCCGACCAGUCAGUAGUCUGCAGUACAAAAGUACAUCA
Long non-coding RNA from Sander lucioperca (pikeperch), 181 nucleotides. RefSeq lists it as uncharacterized. The transcript has 3 exons. The record is from RefSeq and is a predicted model, not a curated record. NCBI's taxonomy places the organism in Eukaryota, Metazoa, Chordata, Actinopteri, Perciformes, Percidae.